GAAUGCACACGAUCGGAAAUGUGUGUCCAAGCAGCAAGUCUGAGAACGAGUGAAGUGCUUUUUCUCUCAAGGACAAGCUGUGAUGGGGAGCGAAAUUUAGAAGCGAAGUUCCUGAUGUCACACUGCCAAGAAAAGCUUCUAGUGAGAAAGUAACUGCCCGUACCGCAAACCGACACAGGUAGUUGAGGAGAGAAUCCUAAGGUGUGCGAGAGAACUCUCGUUAAGGAACUCGGCAAAAUGACCCCGUAACUUCGGGAGAAGGGGUGCUGACCGCAAGGUCAGCCGCAGUGAAUAGGCCCAAGCGACUGUUUAUCAAAAACACAGGUCUCUGCAAAAUCGAAAGAUGACGUAUAGGGGCUGACGCCUGCCCGGUGCUGAAGGUUAAGAGGAGAGGUUAGCGCAAGCGAAGCUUUGAAUUGAAGCCCCAGUAAACGGCGGCCGUAACAAUAACGGUCCUAAGGUAGCGAAAUUCCUUGUCGGGUAAGUUCCGACCCGCACGAAAGGCGUAACGAUUUGGGCACUGUCUCAACGAGAGACUCGGUGAAAUUAUAGUACCAGUGAAGAUGCUGGUUACCCGCGACAGGACGGAAAGACCCCAUGGAGCUUUACUGCAGUUUGAUAUUGCGUGUUUGUAUCACAUGUACAGGAUAGGUAGGAGCCGAAGAUACCGGGACGCCAGUCUCGGAGGAGGCAACGGUGGGAUACUACCCUUGUGAUAUGACCACUCUAACCCGCUGCUCUUAGCGAGCAGGGAGACAGUGUCAGACGGGCAGUUUGACUGGGGCGGUCGCCUCCAAAAAUGUAACGGAGGCGCCCAAAGGUUCCCUCAGAAUGGUUGGAAAUCAUUCGUAGAGUGUAAAGGCAGAAGGGAGCUUGACUGCGAGACCUACAAGUCGAGCAGGGACGAAAGUCGGGCUUAGUGAUCCGGUGGUUCCGCAUGGAAGGGCCAUCGCUCAACGGAUAAAAGCUACCCUGGGGAUAACAGGCUUAUCUCCCCCAAGAGUUCACAUCGACGGGGAGGUUUGGCACCUCGAUGUCGGCUCAUCGCAUCCUGGGGCUGUAGUCGGUCCCAAGGGUUGGGCUGUUCGCCCAUUAAAGCGGUACGCGAGCUGGGUUCAGAACGUCGUGAGACAGUUCGGUCCCUAUCCGUCGCGGGCGUUGGAAAUUUGAGAGGAGCUGUCCUUAGUACGAGAGGACCGGGAUGGACACACCGCUGGUGUACCAGUUGUUCUGCCAAGAGCAUCGCUGGGUAGCUAUGUGUGGACGGGAUAAACGCUGAAAGCAUCUAAGCGUGAAGCCCCCCUCAAGAUGAGAUUUCCCAUCACUUUAAGUGAGUAAGACCCCUGAGAGAUGAUCAGGUAGAUAGGUUGGGAGUGGAAGUACAGCGAUGUAUGGAGCGGACCAAUACUAAUCGGUCGAGGACUUAACCG
This 1430-nucleotide ribosomal RNA is filed under the name metagenome. Its description in RNAcentral is "bacterial LSU rRNA". It matches the Rfam family "Bacterial large subunit ribosomal RNA", at positions 1487 to 2925 of the family's 2925-position model. The record is from RNAcentral.